Molecule: ribosomal RNA, 558 nt
Filed under: uncultured bacterium
Lineage: Bacteria
Description: bacterial SSU rRNA
Rfam family: Bacterial small subunit ribosomal RNA
Source: RNAcentral
UGGGGAAUAUUGCGCAAUGGGGGGGAACCCCUGACGCAGCCAUGCCGCGUGAAUGAAGAAGGCCUUAGGGUUGUAAAGUUCUUUCGGUAUUGAGGAAGGUUGAUGUGUUAAUAGCACAUCAAAUUGACGUUAAAUACAGAAGAAGCACCGGCUAACUCCGUGCCAGCAGCCNCCGUAUGGAGGGUGCGAGCGUUAAUCGGAAUAACUGGGCGUAAAGGGCACGCAGGCGGUUAUUUAAGUGAGGAGGUGUGAAAGCCCCGGGCUUAACCUGGGAAUUGCAUUUCAGACUGGGUAACUAGAACUUNNANCGUACUUUAGGGAGGGGUAGAAUUCCACGUGUAGCGGUGAAAUGCGUAGAGAUGUGGAGGAAUACCGAAGGCGAAGGCAGCCCCUUGGGAAUGUACUGACGCUCAUGUGCGAAAGCGUGGGGAGCAAACAGGAUUAGAUACCCUGGUAGUCCACGCUGUAAACGCUGUCGAUUUGGGGGUUGGGGUUUAACUCUGGCGCCCGUAGCUAACGUGAUAAAUCGACCGCCUGGGGAGUACGGCCGCAAGGUUA